GACAGAGGGUGCAAACGUUGUUCGGAAUUACUGGGCGUAAAGCGCGUGUAGGCGGUUUCGUAAGUCGGAUGUGAAAGCCCUCGGCUCAACCGGGGAAGUGCACCCGAAACUGCGGAACUAGAGUCUCGGAGAGGAUCGUGGAAUUCUCGGUGUAGAGGUGAAAUUCGUAGAUAUCGAGAGGAACACCGAUUGCGAAGGCAGCUUACUACACGAUAAUUGACGCUGGGGCACGAAAGCGUGGGGAGCAAACAGG
RNAcentral lists this ribosomal RNA (253 nucleotides) under uncultured bacterium. RNAcentral's name for it is "partial 16S ribosomal RNA". It matches the Rfam family "Bacterial small subunit ribosomal RNA", at positions 524 to 776 of the family's 1533-position model. The record is from RNAcentral.